This 19-nucleotide non-coding RNA is filed under the name Mus musculus (house mouse). Lineage: Eukaryota; Metazoa; Chordata; Mammalia; Rodentia; Muridae. The record is from RNAcentral.
AUUGCUCUGUCUACACAAG